CAUUCAUGGAGAGUUUGAUCCUGGCUCAGGACGAACGCUGGCGGCGUGCCUAAUACAUGCAAGUCGAGCGGACUUUGCCUUCG
This 83-nucleotide ribosomal RNA is filed under the name Paenibacillus sp. BK033. RNAcentral describes it as "partial 16S ribosomal RNA". It matches the Rfam family "Bacterial small subunit ribosomal RNA", at positions 1 to 82 of the family's 1533-position model. Lineage: Bacteria; Bacillati; Bacillota; Bacilli; Caryophanales; Paenibacillaceae. The record is from RNAcentral.